CCCCCGCGCCACGAGUGGCAAUCGGCAUUAUUGGGUCUAAAGCGUCCGUAGUCGGCUGUGUAAAUCUUCCGUGAAAUCGUCCCGCUCAACGGGACGGCGUGCGGAAGACACUGCAUGGCUCGGGACCAGAAGGUGCAAGAGGUAUUCCCGGGGUAGCGGUAAAAUGCGAUAAUCCUGGGAGGACCACCGAUGGCGAAGGCAUCUUGCAAGGAUGGGUCCGACGAUGAGGGACGAAAGCCAGGGGA
RNAcentral lists this ribosomal RNA (245 nucleotides) under uncultured archaeon. RNAcentral describes it as "partial 16S ribosomal RNA". It matches the Rfam family "Archaeal small subunit ribosomal RNA", at positions 474 to 718 of the family's 1478-position model. The record is from RNAcentral.